UGACCAAGACAAAUGACACUCCGAGGCAGCUGAGUAAGAUUAGGUACUUUAUUGUGCACCAGUGAUUCCAUAUUCUAGGGAUUCUGAUUAGGGGAUUGCAGAAACUGAUAAAGACGCUGCCUAGUCUUCACAGCUCCCACAAGUCACCCACUCCAGUAUUUCUUUAAGGUGAGACUUUGGAUCUCAUCUACAGCCCGAUGAUGUGUGGUGUCGGAUGUUCUGCUUGCUGAUGGCGUUCCUGAUAGCCCUGGAAUCAUCAUCAGCAUUGAGUUGCACCAACAAGCUGCACGUGAACCCCAUUUGCAACACGACGACGGAGACGCUGAUCCCCACCCCUUAACUGCGCCCAGUACUACAACUGCAGCGCCCGGGAUGACAUUCAACCGCUACAUCAUACAAAAGAGCCUACAGGAAUGUGACUACCCACAACUGUACAACCCCGACACCCAGCGAUGUAGGCACUACAGCAUGGUCCAAUGUGGCACCAAAUAUGAACCCUUGGGUAUUGUGAUUAUGCCCAGCACGCGUGUCUUGGAUCGGUCAGCUGUGGGCCACCAUGUUUCUGUCAACAACCCCACCUGCAGAGUUCCUCCCCGACAGGCCCUCAACGUCUACGAAAAUCGCCUCAACACCGCCUUCUUCGUUGUAUGCGUCAAUCAGAGACUGGUCUACACGGGCAAGUGUCCCGAUCUUGGAACGGGGACACCUGUCUUUGACGCAAAACAUCCCGUGCCUACAGGUGCUCGUAAAUCUAAAUUGCUUUGAAAAAGGAAAUUAAAGAUUGUUAACAACG
This is a long non-coding RNA of Haliotis rubra (blacklip abalone), 793 nucleotides long. RefSeq lists it as uncharacterized. The record is from RefSeq and is a predicted model, not a curated record. NCBI's taxonomy places the organism in Eukaryota, Metazoa, Mollusca, Gastropoda, Lepetellida, Haliotidae. The transcript is spliced from 4 exons.